UACGAAGGGUGCAAACGUUGCUCGGAAUUAUUGGGCGUAAAGAGCUCGUAGGCGGUUUGUUGCGUCGGCUGUGAAAUCCCGAGGCUCAACCUCGGGUCUGCAGUCGAUACGAGCAAACUAGAGUGUUGCAGGGGAGACUGGAAUUCCUGGUGUAGCGGUGAAAUGCGCAGAUAUCAGGAGGAACACCCGUGGCGAAGGCGGCUCUCUGGGACGGUACUGACGCUGAGACGCGAAAGCGUGGGGAGCGAACCGG
RNAcentral lists this ribosomal RNA (253 nucleotides) under uncultured bacterium. Its description in RNAcentral is "partial 16S ribosomal RNA". It matches the Rfam family "Bacterial small subunit ribosomal RNA", at positions 524 to 776 of the family's 1533-position model. The record is from RNAcentral.